UACAAUAGAAUGUUGGUAAGGGAAAGAGUAGGAACCACUGUGAAUAAAAAAAAAAGCACUAGUUCACAUUUAUCAUGUAUUACAAUGUGCUGGGCCUGUACCAAGCACUGUUAUAAUCAUCUCACUUAAUUUUCUAACAGCCCCAUAUUAUUAUUUUCUGGUGCUAUUAUUUUCCCCAUUUGAUAGCUAAGCAGUCUGAGGCUCGGAGAGGUUAAGUCACUUAUCUGAAGUAACAACGCUUGUAAAUAGAGGUAGGACUCUAAUUCAGAAAUGUGUGAUUCCAUAAUUGAUGCUCUUAACUCUCUUAGAUCUAGAACACCAGCAUUCCUGUCCACCCUCCAUCCAUCUCUAUGAUUAAAAAAAAAAAAAAGUUAAAACCCAAUAAAUGGCUUCUAAUGACUCCUUCAUUUUUUACAUUUCUCCAGGAUGGAAUUAUACUUUUGCAGAAGGAAAAAUAAAGUUCUUAUUUAAGUUCUCUUCCUUCAGGGAUGGUAUCAUCUCCCUCCCAGAAGUCUUGGCAGUUGUACAUUCUUUUCCAGGGGGUAAGAAAACUGGUAGCAGUCAGUUGUCAUGUCUGCGUCUCCUGUUGUACUCUGAGGUAGGGCAGGCUCUUUUUAUGCAUGAGAACACUGUGAGGCUCAGAGACUUUACAUACAUUGACCAAGUCACACAGGAUUAUGGGACUGGGCAGCUCUGACGCUCAAGUCUCCUGAUGCCCAGUUUGGGGGCUUUGGUCUUGGCACUUCUCUCUUAACUGAUCUCCAGACUUGUUUCUGUCUAAACCCAGCUUGACAAUUAAGCAGCACUUGUUCUUAAAGGCCAAUGGUUACUGUGGGUAUUUUCCAAACAGUCGUACUUGCCGAUCUGCCCUCCUCGCCUGGCAUAAAUUCCCAGAGAGUAAGCAGAGAUCUGACAUGCUUUUGGUCUUCGACAUGCGCUCUUGGUCACCUGCGUGUCUUCCCUGAAAGGGCUGUUUUCUGUCUAGUUUUCCGUUCUCACAGAGGGCGUGUAAAACGCCUGGAUGCCCGACCUCGUGCGUCACUGUGUCCCUAGGGGAGCUGUAGCAGAAACGGGGGCGGGGCGGGGGGAGGGGGCGGGGCUGGUGUGGGUAGCGGGGAGGGGGCGAUCUUACCCAACAGUAAAGGCAGAGACGAGGCCCCAGAGGAGGCCGUGCUUUGUCCCGGCUCAGCAGGGCCGCAACCUGAACAGGCGCCGGCCUCGCUCGUGCCCUGACGCCCCUGGGGCGAAACUGGAGGCCCUGGGCGCGCCAGCUGACCAGAUGGCCUGAGCUGCAAACCCCAGAGACCCGGGCGGGUUCUGGCAGCCCCCAGACCCGGGCCUGGGUCUCGCCGCCACAAGGCUCAGCUCAGCCCGAGCGCCCCCAUUAGGAGGUGCGGCCCACGGAGGUGGCGUGACUGGGCCGGCCGGAUAGCCCCACCCGGAGCCCAGAGGCGCGGCGCCCGCGGACCACGCGGGGCGGGCGGGACGGGGGUCGUCUGCUGGCGUGCCCGCGGGCUUUCACCCGCAAAGCAGCCGUCCGAGGUUCCGGUCUCCGCCUGGGGUCGCCUGAGCACUGCGUCUACCAGGGCUCCUCCGGAGGGCGUGGGGGAAGGGGGAAAAAGCAGCUGCGCCACGGCUGCUUGCGGCCUGUGCCCAAGGCGGGGUCGGUUUCUAGGCAACGAGGCCCUUGCACGGGUCGCGCCCUCCCUCUUCUGGGUCGGUCUCCCCUCCCCCAUUGAAGCUCUGCAGAGUCAGAGCCCCGGGACCCAAGGCGGAGCCCAGGUGUGGCCGGGGGGGCUGGGGGAGUGGAGCCCGACGGGCGUGGGAGUGGGUGACCCCAGGGCUGCCCAGCUGCUGGCCGGAGUUUCUCCGACUUCGGUGGGGCUGCGCUAGGGCCUGGGGACCCGGACGGCCCGAGGCGGGGGCGACAAGUCUGUUUCCUCCCGGUCUCCGCCUGCGCCGGCUGAAACGAGUCUUUCCGGUGGGGCUGCCCAGCCGGGUCCGCCCCGCCCGGCCUCCCGGAACCCGCUCGGAGAAGUGCACGACCCCGCCCGGGCCGAGGGCGCGAGCAGGAGAGUGGGUGGAGCGGCUGGAGAGGCGAGAGCCCGGGUCCUGGGUUCUAGCGAGCUCUGGAGCCCCUCUUUCCGAUCCGGUGGCUCCCCAAGGGCACCCUGACCGAAGGUUUAUGUUGAACCUUCCUGGGUGAUUCUGCGAAUCAAGGCUGCGAAUAAAGUAACUUUAUUACUUUACAACUGGGGAAACUGAGGCACACACUGUGCCAAGGCCUUACCGUAAGUUAGCCAACCACAAGGAAGCCAAGGGAAAGCCUACAAGGAGAGACCCCACGAAGACCAGGAUUUUUCCCAGGGCCUGAAUCCUGAGGGGUUGGAGUAGAAGAGCCGGGCUAGGGACGCAGGAAGGUCUGGGCACGCUGCCCUGACAGGUUCGCAGGAUCACCGCGGCGGUCCCCAGCCUCACAAAAUUAAUGAGCAAGAGGCCUUUCUCUCCUCGGUCGAGAAGUAGAGAUUCCGUUUAACCUCUGCAGACAGUAAGACAGCGACCACUCUCCCUCCCAGCCUGGCGCCAGCAUGAACCCGAGGGCAUGUCAGCAGGAGCCAGGAACUGGAGGCGAAGCAUCCUUCAUUUCCUCUGCGGCAGUGGAACGAGUGAGGUCUCUGAUUGCCAGAGUCUUGUUUUUUUCAAAAUCGCAGCAUGCUGAGACCGAAAGCGGGGUACCCUGGAGGAUUCUUUUAUAUGCUCAACCUUGAGUCAGACUUGCAAUCAGCAUUUGAUCAAGGAACUUGGUAUUCUCAAACUUGGGAACCAGCCUUGUAGCCUGACAAAAUUACCUGGGAUGGAGCUCAGGACGACUGGCCCUUGUCUUGCUCUGUGACUGUACAUGUCACUUCUCACUUGUCCAUUCAACAAAAACUCUGGAGAACCUCCUGUCUGCUUGGGCUUCUAAAUCAUGGCGCUGACACUUUAAAUUAGAAAAUAACAAAGAAGAAAUCUGCCAAAUAGAAGCAUGGAAGGCUUUGCAAAAGAAUUGACAUUUGAUAUGGAUUCUGACAGAUGAAAAGGAGUUCCCUGGGUGGCAUCAGUUCAUCUUCUAUAAGCUUCCAGGAGCAGCCAGCCCAGGAGCACAGCGGGGCUAUCAGCAAAGCAGGGAUGCUGAUCCAAGUUCAAAUCCCAGUCUUCCCAGGGCCACACUGGGAGCUUUGGAGAAAAUUGCAGAACUUGGAGUUGGCAUCUGUCAACGUAAUGGGAUGAAACAAAGUGGCAGUCAUGGGUCACCUUGUGUAUGGCUUGCACACAGUAGGCCCUCAGCUGGUGAAGGCUUCUGCAGGUGGGGCCCAUGGAGCCCCAGGCUUUGGGCUGAGGCAGGCCCAGGACUAGCCCAUUAGAGGCUGCUGAGCUCCACAUGGAAACCCCAGCUGGCUGUGGGGCCCAAGGUGUAGUAUGCGCCAGAGUCCCCUGACUUGAAGUGGCUUCUGGUCAGUGCCAGUGCAUGUCCCCACCAGAUUCAGGGCCAGUGGCCCCCAGUGCCAUGAGAAUACUGUGAAAGCUUCCCAGAACAUAUGCUAUUUGAUCCCCUUUAAAGGAAUACAUCAGAGCCCUACAGGUUGGCCCAAAGCUGCUGUGUCCCCGUAGCAAGUGGAUAAGUAGCUUGAAAUUCCCUGUGUCCCAAGCACCUGCUGUGUGCUCAAUCAGGAGAGCAAGUGAUAAGCCAAAAAGACAAGCUGCUCAAAUGGGCAAAGAAUAUGAGUAGGUAUGAAUAGAUAUAUGAAUAUGAAUAGGUUCACAAAAGAGGCAUGGAAAACGGCUCAGAAAUUGAUUUUUAAAAAGAAUGCUCAAUCCUGCCAAACCUUAAGGGAGAUGCAACUUAAAUGAAGUAGUAUUUAUAUAUAUAUAUAUACUGGAAUAAUACUCAGCCAGAAAAAGAGAAUGAAAUAGGGUUUCCCUGGUGGCUCAGUGGUAAAGAAUCUGUCUGCCAAUGCAGGAGACAUGGGUUUGAUCCCUAAUCUGGGAAGAUCCCACAUGCCAAGAAGCAACCAAGCCGCAUGAGCCAUAGCUAUUGAAUCUGUGCUCUAGAGCCUGAGAGCCACAACUACUGAACCCGUGUACCUCAACUACUAAAGCCCAUGCACCCCAGAGCCCACAGUCAGCAACAGGAGAAGCCACUGCAAUGAGAAGCCUGCAAACCACCACUACAGAAAAGCCCUCAUAGCAGCGAAGACCCGGCACAGCCAGAAGUGAAUAAAUAGAAUUAUUUUUUAAAUAAAAGGAAGUAACACUCUCUGCAGCAACGUGGAUGGACCUAGAGAUUAUCAUAGUAAGUGAAGUAAGCUAGACAGAGA
This is a long non-coding RNA of Bubalus bubalis (water buffalo), 4358 nucleotides long. RefSeq lists it as uncharacterized. NCBI's taxonomy places the organism in Eukaryota, Metazoa, Chordata, Mammalia, Artiodactyla, Bovidae. The transcript is spliced from 3 exons. The record is from RefSeq and is a predicted model, not a curated record.